RNAcentral lists this ribosomal RNA (465 nucleotides) under uncultured bacterium. Its description in RNAcentral is "partial 16S ribosomal RNA". It matches the Rfam family "Bacterial small subunit ribosomal RNA", at positions 338 to 795 of the family's 1533-position model. The record is from RNAcentral.
CCUACGGGAGGCAGCAGUGGGGAAUUUUGCGCAAUGCUCGUAAGAGUGACGCAGCGACGCCGCGUGAAUGACGAAGGCCUUCGGGUCGUAAAGUUCUUUCGACAGGGAAGAAAAUGCCUAGAAGUAACUGUGUAUGUAUUGACGGUACCUGUAUAAACAGCCUCGGCUAACUCCAUGCCAGCAGCCGCGGUAAUACGGAGGGGGCGAGCGUUUUUCGGAUGGACUGGGCGUAAAGAGCACGUAGGCGGUGUUGUAAGUCAUUAGUCAAAGGCUAGAGCUCAACUUUAGUAAGGCUAGUGAUACUAUAAUACUAGAGUAGCAGAGAGGAUUGCAGAAUGCCUGGUGUAGCGGUGAAAUGCGUAGAUAUCAGGAGGAAUACCGUUAGCGAAGGCAGCAAUCUGGCUGGAAACUGACGCUGAGGUGCGAAAGCGUGGGUAGCAAACAGGAUUAGAUACCCUGGUAGUC